CCCUAUUAUAUUUAAUGUAAAUAAAAUCUUUUGAAUAGUAAAUGCUAUUGUCAGGAAACUUAAAGAAUUUGACGGUGUUUAUUCUUUUCAGAGGAAUAUGUUUAUUAAUUGAUAAUUCUCAAAAAUUUUACUUAAAUUAAUUUAUUUUGUAUAUCUCCGUCUAAAAAAAUUAUUUGGAAAUAUAUUUUGUAAUUUGAUUUUUUUAAAAAGUCAGGUCAAGGUGCAGAUUAUAUUUAAGGUUAAAUGUGUUACAGUUAAAAUAUUAUUGAAUUUAAACAUGAAAAAUUUAAUGAAAUUGGAUUUGUGAGUAAAUUGAAUAUAAAAUAUUUUAUUGAAUUAUGUAAAUAAAUAUGUACACAUCGCCC
Molecule: ribosomal RNA, 365 nt
Filed under: Bertkauia crosbyana
Lineage: Eukaryota; Metazoa; Arthropoda; Insecta; Psocodea; Epipsocidae
Description: partial 12S ribosomal RNA
Source: RNAcentral